This 427-nucleotide ribosomal RNA is filed under the name uncultured bacterium. RNAcentral's name for it is "bacterial SSU rRNA". It matches the Rfam family "Bacterial small subunit ribosomal RNA", at positions 355 to 774 of the family's 1533-position model. The record is from RNAcentral.
UGGGGAAUUUUGGACAAUGGGCGCAAGCCUGAUCCAGCCAUGCCGCGUGCGGGAAGAAGGCCUUCGGGUUGUAAACCGCUUUUGUCAGGGAAGAAAAGUUCCGGGUUAAUACCCUGGGAUGCUGACGGUACCUGAAGAAUAAGCACCGGCUAACUACGUGCCAGCAGCCGCGGUAAUACGUAGGGUGCGAGCGUUAAUCGGAAUUACUGGGCGUAAAGCGUGCGCAGGCGGUUGUGCAAGACAGAUGUGAAAUCCCCGGGCUCAACCUGGGAACUGCAUUUGUGACUGCACGACUGGAGUGCGGCAGAGGGGGAUGGAAUUCCGCGUGUAGCAGUGAAAUGCGUAGAUAUGCGGAGGAACACCGAUGGCGAAGGCAAUCCCCUGGGCCUGCACUGACGCUCGUGCACGAAAGCGUGGGGAGCAAACA